This 937-nucleotide small RNA is filed under the name Pan troglodytes (chimpanzee). Its description in RNAcentral is "unitary pseudogene". The record is from RNAcentral. Lineage: Eukaryota; Metazoa; Chordata; Mammalia; Primates; Hominidae.
AUGGGGGGCUUUGGGACUAACAUCUCAAGUACUACCAGCUUCACUCUAACAGGCUUCCCUGAGAUGAAGGGUCUGGAGCACUGGCUGGCUGCCCUUCUGCUGCUGCUUUAUGCUAUUUCCUUCCUGGGCAACAUCCUCAUCCUCUUUAUCAUAAAGGAAGAGCAGAGCUUGCACCAGCCAAUGUACUACUUCCUGUCUCUUUUGUCUGUUAAUGACCUGGGUGUGUCCUUUUCUACAUUGCCCACUGUACUGGCUGCUGUGUGUUUUCAUGCCCCAGAGACAACUUUUGAUGCCUGCCUGGCCCAGAUGUUCUUCAUCCACUUUUCCUCCUGGACAGAGUUUGGCAUCCUACUGGUCAUGAGUUUUGACCACUAUGUGACCAUCUGUAACCCGCUGUGCUAUGCCACGGUGCUCACUGAUGUCCGUGUGGCCCACAUUGGCAUAUCCAUUGUCAUCCGCAGCUUCUGCAUGGUAUUCCCACUUCCCUUCCUCCUGAAGAGACUGCCUUUCUGUAAGGCCAGUGUGGUACUGGCCCAUUCCUACUGCCUGCGUGCAGACCUGAUUCGGCUGCCCUGUGGAGACACUACCAUCAACAGCAUGUAUGGCCUGUUCAUUGUCAUCUCUGCCUUUGGUGUAGAUUCACUGCUCAUCCUCCUCUCCUAUGUGCUCAUUCUACAUUCUGUGCUGGCCAUUGCCUCCAGGGGUGAGAGGCUUAAGACACUCAACACAUGUGUGUCACAUAUCUAUGCAGUGCUGAUCUUCUAUGUGCCUAUGGUUAGUGUGUCCAUGGUUCAUCGAUUUGGGAGGCAUGCUCCUGAAUAUGUGCAAAAGUUCAUGUCUCUUUGUACCUCCAAUGCUCUACCCAAUUAUCUAUUCCAUCAAGACUAAGGAGAUUUGCAGGAGACUACACAAGAUGUUAUUGGGAGCUAAGUUCUGA